GUGUCAGCCGCCGCGGUAAUACAUAGGAUGCAAGCGUUAUCCGGAUUUACUGGGCGUAAAGAGUUCGUAGGUUUCUUGUCGCAUUUUGUUUGAAAUACCAAGGCUCAACUUUGGGACCGGACAGAAUAUGGACAAGAUCGAGUCUAUUAGGGGGUACUGGAAUUGACGGUGUAGCAGUGAAAUGCGUUGAUAUCGUCAAGAACACCAAGGGCGAAGGCAGGUACCUGGGAUAGUACUGACACUGAGGAACGAAAGCUAGGGGAGCGAAAGGGAUUAGAAACCCUAGUAGUCC
RNAcentral lists this ribosomal RNA (292 nucleotides) under uncultured bacterium. Its description in RNAcentral is "partial 16S ribosomal RNA". It matches the Rfam family "Bacterial small subunit ribosomal RNA", at positions 505 to 796 of the family's 1533-position model. The record is from RNAcentral.